Molecule: ribosomal RNA, 457 nt
Filed under: uncultured bacterium
Lineage: Bacteria
Description: bacterial SSU rRNA
Rfam family: Bacterial small subunit ribosomal RNA
Source: RNAcentral
UACGGAAGGCAGCAGUGGGGAAUAUUGCACAAUGGGCGAAAGCCUGAUGCAGCUAUGCCGCGUGUAUGAAGAAGGCCUUAGGGUUGUAAAGUACUUUCAUCGGGGAGGAAAAAAACAAAACUAAUAAUUUUAUUUCUUGACGUUACCCGAAAAAGAAGCACCGGCUAACUCCGUGCCAGCAGCCGCGGUAAUACGGAGGGUGCUAGCGUUAAUCAGAAUUACUGGGCGUAAAGAGCACGUAGGUGGUUUUUUUAAAGUCAGAUGUGAAAUCCCUGGGCUUAACCUAGGAACUGCAUUUUGAAACUGAAAUACUAGAGUAUCGUAGAGGGAGGUAGAAUUCUAGGUGUAGCGGUGAAAUGCGUAGAUAUCUGGAGGAAUACCUGUGGCGAAAGCGGCCUCCUAAACGAAUACUGACACUGAGGUGCGAAAGCUGGGGAGCAAACAGGGAUUAGAUACC